UUGAAUUCUAGAGCUCCUGAACUCCUACCAAUAGAAAUCGAGGGUUUCCGAUUUAUGUGCCAAUUCUUCGGGCACACCAAAUACCAGUGGUGAAGUCAUCCCUACACGCCCAGAACAUAACCUGUCACUCAUCUCUUCCAUCCUAAUACUAAAUCUCAUAGAAACCCUGAGAAACCCUACUAAAACUCUAAAGAAAAAUGGUUAAAAAAAAGCCGAGAUAUACAACCUUCUCCAACACCAUCACUGACAACAGAUGAAGCCUGUCAUAAUCGUUAUUUGCGUACAAACAUAAUCAGAAAUAAACGCCAGGUCCCAAUGUAUCUGUUAUCUAUCAAUCAAGUUCACAGGUUACCAUCUUCAUUGUCUACCGCACGCAAUAGUACCAUUGUCACCACUACCUGGGGCCAAGGCCACCUCAAUCACCUUCAUUUGAGAUCUUGGCGUGUGCUUUUAGAAGAUGAUGAGGAUACUCAAGAAGAUAAUGAAAUGGCAGUUGACAUAGAUGAAAAAAGAAGAUGACGAGGAUGAAAAAUAUGAUGAAGAUGAUCAAAAUGUUUGAGUAGAGUGCCUACGAUCCUCUUGGUAAUUUGGGUAGGAUUACUUUAUUAUUAGUUUCAUUUUUAGCUAUUCUUUCUUAGUAAUUUGGGUAGUUUGAUUCUUAAUGAUUCUUUCUGAGUUGAUUUCAGUAAAAUUACUUUCUUAUUGAUUUGAUUCUUAAUGAUUAUUUUGAGAAACUUGAUUAUUUUCAGUACUUUUGAUUAAAUAUCAA
Molecule: long non-coding RNA, 769 nt
Organism: Papaver somniferum (opium poppy)
Lineage: Eukaryota; Viridiplantae; Streptophyta; Magnoliopsida; Ranunculales; Papaveraceae
Exons: 3
Source: RefSeq, a predicted model, not a curated record